This 257-nucleotide ribosomal RNA is filed under the name uncultured bacterium. RNAcentral's name for it is "partial 16S ribosomal RNA". It matches the Rfam family "Bacterial small subunit ribosomal RNA", at positions 8 to 235 of the family's 1533-position model. The record is from RNAcentral.
AGAGUUUGAUCAUGGCUCAGGACGAACGCUGGCGGCGUGCUUAACACAUGCAAGUCGAACGGACGGACUUUGAAGAAAUCUUCGGAUGGACUUAAAGCGAGUUAGUGGCGGACGGGUGAGUAACGCGUGGGUAACCUACCCUUUUCAUGGGGACAACAGCUGGAAACGGCUGCUAAUACCGAGUAAGCUCCAAUGACCGCAUGGUAAUUGGAGGAAAGAUGGCCUAUGCACAUGCUAUCGGGAAAGGAUGGACCCCG